This 1013-nucleotide ribosomal RNA is filed under the name marine metagenome. Its description in RNAcentral is "bacterial SSU rRNA". It matches the Rfam family "Bacterial small subunit ribosomal RNA", at positions 8 to 1065 of the family's 1533-position model. The record is from RNAcentral.
AGAGUUUGAUCAUGGCUCAGAACGUACGCUGGCGGCACGCCUAACACAUGCAAGUCGAACGAAGUAGCAAUACUUAGUGGCAGACGGGUGAGUAACAUGUAGGUAUCUGCCCUUUGGCCUGGAAUAACACGAGGAAACUUGUGCUAAUACCGGAUAAGUCUUUACGGAGAAAGCUUUAUGCACCAUUGGAUGAGCUUGCACUUGAUUAGUUUGUUGGUGGGGUAAUGGCCUACCAAGACUGUGAUCAAUAGCUGAUUUGAGAGGAUGAUCAGCCACAUUGGGACUGAGACACGGCCCAAACUCCUACGGGAGGCAGCAGUGGGGAAUCUUGCACAAUGGAGGAAACUCUGAUGCAGCGAUGCCGCGUGAGUGAAGAAGGCCCUUGGGUUGUAAAGCUCUUUCGUCGGGGAAGAAAAUGACUGUACCCGAAUAAGAAGGUCCGGCUAACUUCGUGCCAGCAGCCGCGGUAAUACGAAGGGACCUAGCGUAGUUCGGAAUUACUGGGCUUAAAGAGUUCGUAGGUGGUUGAAAAAGUUGGUGGUGAAAUCCCAGAGCUUAACUCUGGAACUGCCAUCAAAACUUUUCAGCUAGAGUAUGAUAGAGGAAAGCAGAAUUUCUAGUGUAGAGGUGAAAUUCGUAGAUAUUAGAAAGAAUACCAAUUGCGAAGGCAGCUUUCUGGAUCAUUACUGACACUGAGGAACGAAAGCAUGGGUAGCGAAGAGGAUUAGAUACCCUCGUAGUCCAUGCCGUAAACGAUGUGUGUUAGACGUUGGAAAUUUAUUUUCAGUGUCGCAGCGAAAGCGAUAAACACACCGCCUGGGGAGUACGACCGCAAGGUUAAAACUCAAAUGAAUUGACGGGGACCCGCACAAGUAGUGGAGCAUGUGGUUUAAUUCGAAGAUACGCGCAGAACCUUACCAACACUUGACAUGUUCGUCGCGACUUUAAGAGAUUAAAGUUUUCGGUUCGGCCGGACGAAACACAGGUGCUGCAUGGCUGUCGUCAGCUCGUGU